Molecule: ribosomal RNA, 492 nt
Filed under: uncultured bacterium
Lineage: Bacteria
Description: partial 16S ribosomal RNA
Rfam family: Bacterial small subunit ribosomal RNA
Source: RNAcentral
AGUGAACGCUGGCGGUAGGCCUAACACAUGCAAGUCGAACGGCGGCACAGUAAGAGCUUGCUCUUACGGGUGGCGAGUGGCGGACGGGUGAGGAAUACAUCGGAAUCUACUUUUUCGUGGGGGAUAACGUAGGGAAACUUACGCUAAUACCGCAUACGACCUACGGGUGAAAGCAGGGGAUCUUCGGACCUUGCGCGAUUGAAUGAGCCGAUGUCGGAUUAGCUAGUUGGCGGGGUAAAGGCCCACCAAGGCGACGAUCUGUAGCUGGUCUGAGAGGAUGAUCAGCCACACUGGAACUGAGACACGGUCCAGACUCCUACGGGAGGCAGCAGUGGGGAAUAUUGGACAAUGGGCGCAAGCCUGAUCCAGCCAUACCGCGUGGGUGAAGAAGGCCUUCGGGUUGUAAAGCCCUUUUGUUGGGAAAGAAAAGCAGCAGGUUAAUACCCCGCUGUUCUGACGGUACCCAAAGAAUAAGCACCGGCUAACUUCGUG